Molecule: ribosomal RNA, 429 nt
Filed under: uncultured bacterium
Lineage: Bacteria
Description: bacterial SSU rRNA
Rfam family: Bacterial small subunit ribosomal RNA
Source: RNAcentral
UGACGGUACCUCUGAGGAAGCACCGGCUAACUCCGUGCCAGCAGCCGCGGUAAUACAGAGGGUGCGAGCGUUAAUCGGAAUCACUGGGCGUAAAGCGUGCGUAGGCGGCGCUUCAAGUCAGACGUGAAAGCCCUCGGCUCAACCGAGGAAUUGCGUUUGAAACUGGAGUGCUAGAGUCUCGGAGAGGUUGGCGGAAUUCCUGGUGUAGGAGUGAAAUCCGUAAAUAUCUGGAGGAACACCGGUGGCGAAGGCGGCCAACUGGACGAGUACUGACGCUGAGGUACGAAAGCGUGGGGAGCAAACAGGAUUAGAUACCCUGGUAGUCCACGCUGUAAACGAUGGAUAUUAGGUGUCGGGUUUUAAAUUCGGUGCCGCAGUUAACGCGUUAAAUAUCCCGCCUGGGGAGUACGGUCGCAAGGCUGAAACUCA